Molecule: ribosomal RNA, 49 nt
Filed under: Monosporozyma servazzii
Lineage: Eukaryota; Fungi; Ascomycota; Saccharomycetes; Saccharomycetales; Saccharomycetaceae
Also listed under: 3 other names
Description: Kazachstania servazzii partial 28S ribosomal RNA
Source: RNAcentral
UUGACCUCAAAUCAGGUAGGAUUACCCGCUGAACUUAAGCAUAUCAAUA